This 526-nucleotide ribosomal RNA is filed under the name uncultured bacterium. RNAcentral describes it as "bacterial SSU rRNA". It matches the Rfam family "Bacterial small subunit ribosomal RNA", at positions 984 to 1509 of the family's 1533-position model. The record is from RNAcentral.
ACAUCCAGAGAACUUUAGCAGAGAUGCUUUGGUGCCUUCGGGAACUCUGAGACAGGUGCUGCAUGGCUGUCGUCAGCUCGUGUUGUGAAAUGUUGGGUUAAGUCCCGNAACGAGCGCAACCCUUAUCCUUUGUUGCCAGCGGUUCGGCCGGGAACUCAAAGGAGACUGCCGGUGAUAAACCGGAGGAAGGUGGGGAUGACGUCAAGUCAUCAUGGCCCUUACGGCCAGGGCUACACACGUGCUACAAUGGCGCAUACAAAGAGAAGCGACCUCGCGAGAGCAAGCGGACCUCAUAAAGUGCGUCGUAGUCCGGAUUGGAGUCUGCAACUCGACUCCAUGAAGUCGGAAUCGCUAGUAAUCGUAGAUCAGAAUGCUACGGUGAAUACGUUCCCGGGCCUUGUACACACCGCCCGUCACACCAUGGGAGUGGGUUGCAAAAGAAGUAGGUAGCUUAACCUUCGGGAGGGCGCUUACCACUUUGUGAUUCAUGACUGGGGUGAAGUCGUAACAAGGUAAGCGUAGCGAG